CCUGUCCGUGUAGGAUGCACGUGUUCAGCCUUUGGGCACGUGCGCACAGUUGAUUCCGUGCGGGCCUAAAGGGUUACGUACGUGGGGACUUACGGGCGUUCAUGUGUGCGGUCCGUGCAUGUUCGGGGACCAUGUGGGCUUGGCUGCCUGUCCGUGGGCUGUGCGGGCUGGGCUACGUGUUCGGCGCACGUGCAAGCCUCCUUACUCGGGCAUGGGCUUUCCUACAAUUAUUCAAGCUCAUUAAUUAUACUUGGGCCUUAAGCCUAUAAGACUUGGAGAAACUUGGCCCAUCUCUUGGAAUAAUCCCAAUUGAGAGAAUGUUCAGGGAUGAAAUUUUUUCUUGUUCUAGGCAUCCUUCGUUGAUACAAGAUUGUAUCUUUAAAACUAAUUUUGGGCUGUGUAGGAUCACAUCAAAGGGUUUCUUAUCUAUAGCUUCAGUUGUAAGGGAUUAUUCCUCAUAACUACUCUGACACCAUUUAUGACAUCCCAAAUGCUAAA
RNAcentral lists this long non-coding RNA (498 nucleotides) under Carica papaya (papaya). Its description in RNAcentral is "long non-coding RNA (CPAP_LNC008272)". Lineage: Eukaryota; Viridiplantae; Streptophyta; Magnoliopsida; Brassicales; Caricaceae. The record is from RNAcentral.